RNAcentral lists this unclassified non-coding RNA (219 nucleotides) under soil metagenome. RNAcentral describes it as "partial contains 5.8S ribosomal RNA, internal transcribed spacer 2, and large subunit ribosomal RNA". The record is from RNAcentral.
AACCUUAUGGACCUGCGGGCGUAUACCUGCGGAGGGAUCAUUACCGAGUGUGACCCUCCAUUAAAAAAGGGGGUACCUCCCGUCCUUUGCAGGGCCCUUUGGGGCUUUUUGAACUUUGCUUCGGCGGGUUACCCCGCCGGAACACCCUCAAGAAAAUCUUUUUAUAAACUGUUGUCUGAGCACUUUUACGAAUAAAACAAAACUUUUAACAAUGGAUCU